AACGAACGCUGGCGGCAUGCCUAACACAUGCAAGUCGAACGAAGGCUUCGGCCUUAGUGGCGCACGGGUGCGUAACGCGUGGGAACCUGCCCCUCGGUUCGGAAUAACAGUUAGAAAUGACUGCUAAUACCGGAUGAUGACUUCGGUCCAAAGAUUUAUCGCCGAGGGAUGGGCCCGCGUAGGAUUAGCUAGUUGGUGGGGUAAAGGCCUACCAAGGCGACGAUCCUUAGCUGGUCUGAGAGGAUGAUCAGCCACACUGGGACUGAGACACGGCCCAGACUCCUACGGGAGGCAGCAGUGGGGAAUAUUGGACAAUGGGCGAAAGCCUGAUCCAGCAAUGCCGCGUGAGUGAUGAAGGCCUUAGGGUUGUAAAGCUCUUUUACCAGGGAUGAUAAUGACAGUACCUGGAGAAUAAGCUCCGGCUAACUCCGUGCCAGCAGCCGCGGUAAAGU
Molecule: ribosomal RNA, 452 nt
Filed under: uncultured bacterium
Lineage: Bacteria
Description: bacterial SSU rRNA
Rfam family: Bacterial small subunit ribosomal RNA
Source: RNAcentral